This 294-nucleotide small RNA is filed under the name Arabidopsis thaliana (thale cress). RNAcentral's name for it is "ATSL169960". Lineage: Eukaryota; Viridiplantae; Streptophyta; Magnoliopsida; Brassicales; Brassicaceae. The record is from RNAcentral.
UGUCGUUUUCAAAACUGAACGCAUCAACUAAACCGAAACCAACUGCUGUAGGGUCUGGUUUACGCCAUCAACUCAACCGAUACGAACUGCUGCACGGUUUGGUUUGUGCCAUUAUUAAGUUUUCCCAGGGUAAUUUGGUCCGAAAUUGAAUGAAAACACAAAACGUGAAAACCAGUUCUCACUUUGACAAACGGUGAGAGCAAAUCUUUUUUCGUCCACUUCUGUGAAAAUUUCUUUUGAUUCAAUCGGUCUGCCACGUGACUCAAACAAACUUCAGUAGAUCUAUGAUUCGUA